Diceros bicornis minor is the source of this 1605-nucleotide long non-coding RNA. RefSeq lists it as uncharacterized. The transcript has 6 exons. The record is from RefSeq and is a predicted model, not a curated record. NCBI's taxonomy places the organism in Eukaryota, Metazoa, Chordata, Mammalia, Perissodactyla, Rhinocerotidae.
CUGCCAUGUAUUAAAUAUUUAAUAUGUGUCAAUGAUUGUGAAUAUAUUAUUGCACUUAAUACUGUGAAAACAAACAUUUCACAUUCUGGUUGAUAAAACAGUCUAAGGUUUAAGCACACAGUGGCAACAUCUAUGUUUUAACACUUUAAUAAAAUAGCUUCACUGUGCCCACAAUUAAUCAAGUCUAGGAAGCACAGAGGUAUUUAAAAAUUGUUGUGUCAUACAAUAGACACUCAUAAGGGCAGGCAGAUUAGCCCAUUCAGAGCCUGGAAAAGAACUGGGGACAAACAUACUGCAAGAUGCAUAAGAAUUGCUUAAGAUGGACUUUGAAUGGAUGGUUAGGUUGGAAUCAAUCCAAGUUGUCAUUGUAAUUUAUUUAAUCCAGAGCAUCAUCCAGCAUUUUAUUCCACGCAGAUUUUAGGAGUCGAGCUUCAAGGGGACACUGGAUUGGAAUUCUUUAAAAGGGUACAGGCAUGACUAACAUUGAGAAGAGUGAUUACAGCUUUUCAGAAAGAGUGCUGCAAGCUGGGUCCCGUUAGAUUUCGUCUCUGUGAAAAAUACUCUGAUCACUGAGAAACUAAGACAAAGUGCGCAUCUGCGACUCAUUCUCUACAUUUAAAACGAUGUGACUUAAAACUCAAAGAAACUCAUUCUUUAAACUGUCUUCCAGUUGUGAAAUAUUGCACAUACCUGGAACAAGAAUAAAUUCCCUGGACAGUUAGGACAAUUCAGAGGAUAAAGUUGAUGAAUCAGGACUUAAGAAGCUCAAGACUUCCAUCAUCAUUUAUUGAGCCAAAAUUCGCUAGAGUGUGCCUAGUGCCAAACACUGAAACAGCUAAGACACAAUCCCUCCUCCCCAGCGGCCUCUCUCCACUGACUACAAGGAUGCUCAGGCUUUUAUCACCUAAAGAUGAAGAAAGUGAAGCAGAAGUAUAUCACAUGACUUGACCAAGGUCACACAGUAUGUGUUUUUUGAUUUCUCCUUUGAUUUCUUCAUUGACCCAAAGCAAUCUUAAGGAAAAAGAACACAGCUGAAGGUAUCACACUCUCUGAUUUCAAAAUAUACUACAAAGCUAUCGUAAUCAAAACAGCAUGGUUCUGGCAUGAAAACAGACACCCAGAUCCAUGGAACAGAAUGGAGACCCCAGAAAUAAACCCACACAUCUGUGGACAGCUAAUUUUCAACAAAGGAGCCAAGAAUUUACAACAGAGAAAGGGAAGUCUCUUCAAUAAAUGGUGCUGGGAAAAUUGGACAGCCACAUGCACACGGAAGGCAAUUAGACUUUGGGUGGUGAACAUUAUAUAGUCUACACAGAAAUCGAAAUAUAAUGAUGUCACCUUAAAUUUAUAUAAUGUUAUAAACCAAUGUCACCUCAAUAAAAUAAAAUCAAUUUGAAAAGUGAAAAAAAAAAGAAAAAAAAAAAGGCUGUGACUCUGGUUUUUGAAUAUGUCCUUUGUUUACCUUGGCUUUAAAAUAAGUGUUAUCUACUUUACAUUUCAUUAACCCAAUAGAGCACAAUUAUUAUGCAAGUAAAUAUGCAAAAAUAUAACAAAAAAAUCGAAGCACUGGUAAACCAAAAUAACAUUAGAGUUUAUUCUCUGUCU